GGGGAAUAUUGCACAAUGGGGGAAACCCUGAUGCAGCGACGCCGCGUGGAGGAAGAAGGUCUUCGGAUUGUAAACUCCUGUUGUUGAGGAAGAUAAUGACGGUACUCAACAAGGAAGUGACGGCUAACUACGUGCCAGCAGCCGCGGUAAAACGUAGGGUGCAAGCGUUGUCCGGAAUUACUGGGUGUAAAGGGAGCGCAGGCGGACCGGCAAGUUGGAAGUGAAAACUAUGGGCUCAACCCAUAAAUUGCUUUCAAAACUGCUGGCCUUGAGUAGUGCAGAGGUAGGUGGAAUUCCCGGUGUAGCGGUGGAAUGCGUAGAUAUCGGGAGGAACACCAGUGGCGAAGGCGACCUACUGGGCACCAACUGACGCUGAGGCGCGAAAGCGUGGGGAGCAAACAGGAUUAGAUACCCUGGUAGUCCACGCUGUAAACGAUGGAUACUAGGUGUGCGGGGACUGACCCCCUGCGUGCCGCAGUUAACACAAUAAGUAUCCCACCUGGGGAGUACGAUCGCAAGGUUGAAACUCAAAGGAAUUGACGGGGGCCCGCACAAGCGGUGGAUUAUGUGGUUUAAUUCGAAGCAACGCGAAGAACCUUACCAGGUCUUGACAUCCCGAUGACCGCCUUAGAGAUAAGGCUUUUCUUCGGAACAUCGGAGACAGGUGGUGCAUGGUUGUCGUCAGCUCGUGUCGUGAGAUGUUGGGUUAAGUCCCGCAACGAGCGCAACCCUUACGGUUAGUUGAUACGCAAGAUCACUCUAGCCGGACUGCCGUUGACAAAACGGAGGAAGGUGGGGACGACGUCAAAUCAUCAUGCCCCUUAUGACCUGGGCUACACACGUACUACAAUGGCAGUCAUACAGAGGGAAGCAAAACCGCGAGGUGGAGCAAAUCCCAAAAAGCAGUCUCAGUUCGGAUUGAAGGCUGAAAUUCGCCUUCAUGAAGCCGGAAUUGCUAGUAAUGGCAGGUCAGCAUACUGCCGUGAAUACGUUCCCG
This 997-nucleotide ribosomal RNA is filed under the name uncultured bacterium. Its description in RNAcentral is "bacterial SSU rRNA". It matches the Rfam family "Bacterial small subunit ribosomal RNA", at positions 356 to 1376 of the family's 1533-position model. The record is from RNAcentral.